Molecule: ribosomal RNA, 476 nt
Filed under: uncultured Anaplasma sp.
Lineage: Bacteria; Pseudomonadati; Pseudomonadota; Alphaproteobacteria; Rickettsiales; Anaplasmataceae
Description: bacterial SSU rRNA
Rfam family: Bacterial small subunit ribosomal RNA
Source: RNAcentral
UUGCAUAGGGAACUACCUAGUAGUAUGGGAUAGCCACUAGAAAUGGUGGGUAAUACUGUAUAAUCCCUGCGGGGGAAAGAUUUAUCGCUAUUAGAUGAGCCUAUGUUAGAUUAGCUAGUUGGUGGGGUAAAGGCCUACCAAGGCAGUGAUCUAUAGCUGGUCUGAGAGGAUGAUCAGCCACACUGGAACUGAGAUACGGUCCAGACUCCUACGGGAGGCAGCAGUGGGGAAUAUUGGACAAUGGGCGCAAGCCUGAUCCAGCUAUGCCGCGUGAGUGAGGAAGGCCUUAGGGUUGUAAAACUCUUUCAGUGGGGAAGAUAAUGACGGUACCCACAGAAGAAGUCCCGGCAAACUCCGUGCCAGCAGCCGCGGUAAUACGGAGGGGGCAAGCGUUGUUCGGAAUUAUUGGGCGUAAAGGGCAUGUAGGCGGUUCGGUAAGUUAAAGGUGAAAUGCCAGGGCUUAACCCUGGAGCUGC